UUGAACAAAAGAAUUACUGUCUCUUUAUCUAUUAUUGAAUUUAACUUUUAAGUGAAAAGGCUUAAAUUUUUUAAGGGGACGAUAAGACCCUAUAAAGCUUUAUAAUGAAAUAGUAUUUUAUAAAUUUAAUUUAUAAAAAUAAAAUAAAAUAACCUUAUUUUGUUGGGGCGACAAAGAUAUAAAUAUAUUAUAUAACUGUCAAAAAAUGAUACAUAAAUUUAUGGAUAAUAAAAUGAUCCUUAUUUAAAGAUUAAAAGACUAAGUUACUUUAGGGAUAACAGCGUUAUUUCUUUUGAGAGUUCUUAUUGAAAAAGGAGUUUGCGACCUCGAUGUUGAAUUAAAGAAUCUUUAUAGUGCAGCCGUUAUAAAAAGAGGGUCUGUUCGACCU
RNAcentral lists this ribosomal RNA (388 nucleotides) under Pugettia minor. RNAcentral describes it as "partial 16S ribosomal RNA". The stretch from base 274 to 388 matches the Rfam family "Bacterial large subunit ribosomal RNA", at positions 2473 to 2587 of the family's 2925-position model. The record is from RNAcentral. Lineage: Eukaryota; Metazoa; Arthropoda; Malacostraca; Decapoda; Epialtidae.